AUUGAACGCUGGCGGCAUGCUUUACACAUGCAAGUCGAACGGCAGCGCGGGCUUCGGCCUGGCGGCGAGUGGCGAACGGGUGAGUAAUGCAUCGGAACGUGCCCAGUCGUGGGGGAUAGCCCGGCGAAAGCCGGAUUAAUACCGCAUACGACCUGAGGGCGAAAGGGGGGGACCGAAAGGCCUCGCGCGAUUGGAGCGGCCGAUGUCGGAUUAGCUAGUUGGUGGGGUAAAGGCUUACCAAGGCGGCGAUCCGUAGCUGGUCUGAGAGGACGACCCGCCACACUGGGACUGAGACACGGCCCAGACUCCUACGGGAGGCAGCAGUGGGGAAUUUUGGACAAUGGGCGCAACCCUGAUCCAGCCAUGCCGCGUGCGGGAAGAAGGCCUUCGGGUUGUAAACCGCUUUUGCUCGGGAAGAAAUACUCUGGGCUAAUACCCCGGGGGGAUGACGGUACCGGAAGAAUAAGCACCGGCUAACUACGUG
RNAcentral lists this ribosomal RNA (484 nucleotides) under uncultured bacterium. Its description in RNAcentral is "partial 16S ribosomal RNA". It matches the Rfam family "Bacterial small subunit ribosomal RNA", at positions 28 to 507 of the family's 1533-position model. The record is from RNAcentral.